UAGCGGCGGACGGGUGAGUAACGCGUGAGCAAUCUGUCCUUCACAGGGGGAUAACACUUGGAAACAGGUGCUAAUACCGCAUAAGACCACAGAGUCACAUGACAUAGGGGUCAAAGGAGAAAUUCGGUGAAGGGUGAGCUCGCGUCCCAUUAGAUAGUUGGUGAGGUAACGGCCCACCAAGUCAACGAUGGGUAGCCGACCUGAGAGGGUGAUCGGCCACACUGGGACUGAGACACGGCCCAGACUCCUACGGGAGGCAGCAGUGGGAAUAUUGGGCAAUGGGCGCAAGCCUGACCCAGCAACGCCGCGUGAGGGAAGAAGGUUUUCGGAUUGUAAACCUCUGUCCUUAGGGAAGAAGAAAGUGACGGUACCUAAGGAGGAAGCCCCGGCUAACUACGUGCCAGCAGCCGCGGUAAUACGUAGGGGGCAAGCGUUGUCCGGAAUGACUGGGCGUAAAGGGCGUGUAGGCGGCUGCUUAAGUCUGAUGUGAAAUACCCAUUUUUAAGGUGGGUCGUGCAUUGGAAACUGAGUAGCUUGAGUGCGGAAGAGGUAAGUGGAAUUCCCGGUGUAGCGGUGAAAUGCGUAGAGAUCGGGAGGAACACCAGUGGCGAAGGCGACUUACUGG
RNAcentral lists this ribosomal RNA (625 nucleotides) under uncultured bacterium. RNAcentral describes it as "bacterial SSU rRNA". It matches the Rfam family "Bacterial small subunit ribosomal RNA", at positions 93 to 732 of the family's 1533-position model. The record is from RNAcentral.